Molecule: ribosomal RNA, 253 nt
Filed under: uncultured bacterium
Lineage: Bacteria
Description: partial 16S ribosomal RNA
Rfam family: Bacterial small subunit ribosomal RNA
Source: RNAcentral
GACGUAGGGGACGAGCGUUGUCCGGAUUUAUUGGGCGUAAAGCGCGCGCAGGCGGCCACGUAAGUCGGAUGUGAAAUCCCGGGGCUCAACCCCGGAACUGCAUUCGAUACUGCGUGGCUCGAGGUAGGUAGGGGAGAUCGGAAUUCCUGGUGUAGCGGUGGAAUGCGCAGAUAUCAGGAGGAACACCGGUGGCGAAGGCGGGUCUCUGGACAGUUCCUGAUACUGAGGCACGAAGGCCAGGGGAGCAAACGGG